AGACCCGAAACCCGGUGAUCUAGCCAUGGGCAGGUUGAAGGUUGGGUAACACUAACUGGAGGACCGAACCGACUAAUGUUGAAAAAUUAGCGGAUGACCUGUGGCUGGGGGUGAAAGGCCAAUCAAACCGGGAGAUAGCUGGUUCUCCCCGAAAGCUAUUUAGGUAGCGCCUCGUGAAUUCAUCUCCGGGGGUAGAGCACUGUUUCGGCUAGGGGGCCAUCCCGGCUUACCAACCCGAUGCAAACUGCGAAUACCGGAGAAUGUUAUCACGGGAGACACACGGCGGGUGCUAACGUCCGUCGUGAAGAGGGAAACAACCCAGACCGCCAGCUAAGGUCCCAAAGUCAUGGUUAAGUGGGAAACGAUGUGGGAAGGCCCAGACAGCCAGGAUGUUGGCUUAGAAGCAGCCAUCAUUUAAAGAAAGCGUAAUAGCUCACUGGUCGAGUCGGCCUGCGCGGAAGAUGUAACGGGGCUAAACCAUGCACCGAAGCUGCGGCAGCGACGCUGAUGCGUUGUUGGGUAGGGGAGCGUUCUGUAAGCCUGUGAAGGUGUGUCGUGAGGCAUGCUGGAGGUAUCAGAAGUGCGAAUGCUGACAUAAGUAACGAUAAAGCGGGUGAAAAGCCCGCUCGCCGGAAGACCAAGGGUUCCUGUCCAACGUUAAUCGGGGCAGGGUGAGUCGACCCCUAAGGCGAGGCCGAAAGGCGUAGUCGAUGGGAAACGGGUUAAUAUUCCCGUACUUGGUGUUACUGCGAAGGGGGGACGGAGAAGGCUAUGUUGGCCGGGCGACGGUUGUCCCGGUUUAAGCGUGUAGGUGUGUGUUCCAGGUAAAUCCGGUUCACUUUAACACUGAGGCGUGACGACGAGGCACUACGGUGCUGAAGCAACAAAUGCCCUGCUUCCAGGAAAAGCCUCUAAGCAUCAGGUAACAUCAAAUCGUACCCCAAACCGACACAGGUGGUCAGGUAGAGAAUACCAAGGCGCUUGAGAGAACUCGGGUGAAGGAACUAGGCAAAAUGGUGCCGUAACUUCGGGAGAAGGCACGCUGACAUGUAGGUGAAGUGAUUUACUCAUGGAGCUGAAGUCAGUCGAAGAUACCAGCUGGAUGCAACUGUUUAUUAAAAACACAGCACUGUGCAAACACGAAAGUGGACGUAUACGGUGUGACGCCUGCCCGGUGCCGGAAGGUUAAUUGAUGGGGUCAGCGCAAGCGAAGCUCCUGAUCGAAGCCCCGGUAAACGGCGGCCGUAACUAUAACGGUCCUAAGGUAGCGAAAUUCCUUGUCGGGUAAGUUCCGACCUGCACGAAUGGCGUAAUGAUGGCCAGGCUGUCUCCACCCGAGACUCAGUGAAAUUGAACUCGCUGUGAAGAUGCAGUGUACCCGCGGCAAGACGGAAAGACCCCGUGAACCUUUACUAUAGCUUGACACUGAACAUUGAGCCUUGAUGUGUAG
RNAcentral lists this ribosomal RNA (1450 nucleotides) under Salmonella enterica subsp. enterica serovar Wentworth. RNAcentral describes it as "partial 23S ribosomal RNA". It matches the Rfam family "Bacterial large subunit ribosomal RNA", at positions 711 to 2141 of the family's 2925-position model. Lineage: Bacteria; Pseudomonadati; Pseudomonadota; Gammaproteobacteria; Enterobacterales; Enterobacteriaceae. The record is from RNAcentral.